RNAcentral lists this ribosomal RNA (495 nucleotides) under uncultured bacterium. Its description in RNAcentral is "partial 16S ribosomal RNA". It matches the Rfam family "Bacterial small subunit ribosomal RNA", at positions 28 to 507 of the family's 1533-position model. The record is from RNAcentral.
GACGAACGCUGGCGGCGUGCCUAAUACAUGCAAGUAGAACGCUGAAGGUGGAGCUUGCUCUUCUGGAUGAGUUGCGAACGGGUGAGUAACGCGUAGGUAACCUGCCUGGUAGCGGGGGAUAACUAUUGGAAACGAUAGCUAAUACCGCAUAACAGUAGAUGUUGCAUGACAUUUACUUAAAAGGUGCACUUGCAUCACUACCAGAUGGACCUGCGUUGUAUUAGCUAGUUGGUGGGGUAACGGCUCACCAAGGCGACGAUACAUAGCCGACCUGAGAGGGUGAUCGGCCACACUGAGACUGAGACACGGCCCAGAAUCCUACGGGAGGCAGCAGUAGGGAAUCUUCGGCAAUGGACGGAAGUCUGACCGAGCAACGCCGCGUGAGUGAAGAAGGUUUUCGGAUCGGAAAGCUAUGUUGUAAGAGAAGAACGAGUGUGAGAGUGGAAAGUUCACACUGUGACGGUAUCUGACCAGAAAGGGACGGCUAACUACGUG